UCCCGAUUAGCUCAGUCGGUAGAGCGUCAGACUUUUAACGCAAAGUCUCCGAGCACCAGCUUGGAUUAGUUUAAUCUGAAUGUCAGGGGUUCGAGCCCCCUAUUGGGAG
RNAcentral lists this transfer RNA (109 nucleotides) under Ustilago sp. UG-2017b. Its description in RNAcentral is "transfer RNA-Lys(TTT)". It matches the Rfam family "tRNA". Rfam says of the family: Transfer RNA (tRNA) molecules are approximately 80 nucleotides in length. Their secondary structure includes four short double-helical elements and three loops (D, anti-codon, and T loops). The record is from RNAcentral. Lineage: Eukaryota; Fungi; Basidiomycota; Ustilaginomycetes; Ustilaginales; Ustilaginaceae.